AGGGAAUCUUCGGCAAUGGACGGAAGUCUGACCGAGCAACGCCGCGUGAGUGAAGAAGGUUUUCGGAUCGUAAAGCUCUGUUGUAAGAGAAGAACGAGUGUGAGAGUGGAAAGUUCACACUGUGACGGUAUCUUACCAGAAAGGGACGGCUAACUACGUGCCAGCAGCCGCGGUAAUACGUAGGUCCCGAGCGUUAUCCGGAUUUAUUGGGCGUAAAGCGAGCGCAGGCGGUUAGAUAAGUCUGAAGUUAAAGGCUGUGGCUUAACCAUAGUACGCUUUGGAAACUGUUUAACUUGAGUGCAAGAGGGGAGAGUGGAAUUCCAUGUGUAGCGGUGAAAUGCGUAGAUAUAUGGAGGAACACCGGUGGCGAAAGCGGCUCUCUGGCUUGCAACUGACGCUGAGGCUCGAAAGCGUGGGGAGCAAACAGGAUUAGAUACCCUGGUAGUCCACGCCGUAAACGAUGAGUGCUAGGUGUUGGGUCCUUUCCGGGACUCAGUGCCGCAGCUAACGCAUUAAGCACUCCGCCUGGGGAGUACGACCGCAAGGUUG
RNAcentral lists this ribosomal RNA (549 nucleotides) under uncultured bacterium. RNAcentral's name for it is "bacterial SSU rRNA". It matches the Rfam family "Bacterial small subunit ribosomal RNA", at positions 356 to 896 of the family's 1533-position model. The record is from RNAcentral.